Molecule: ribosomal RNA, 468 nt
Filed under: uncultured bacterium
Lineage: Bacteria
Description: partial 16S ribosomal RNA
Rfam family: Bacterial small subunit ribosomal RNA
Source: RNAcentral
GACGAACGCUGGCGGCGUGCUUAACACAUGCAAGUCGAACGGAAAGGCCCUGCUUUUGUGGGGUUCUCGAGUGGCGAACGGGUGAGUAACACGUGUGUAACCUGCCCCUGACUUUGGGAUAACUUCAGGAAACUGGGGCUAAUACCGGAUAGGAGCUCCUGCUGCAUAGUGGGGGUUGGAAAGUUUCGGCGGUUGGGGAUGGACUCGCGGCUUAUCAGCUUGUUGGUGGGGUAGUGGCUUUCCAAGGCUUUGACGGGUAGCCGGCCUGAGAGCGUGACCGGCCACAAUGGGACUGAGAUACGGACCAGACUGCUACGGGCGGCAGCAGUGGGGAAUAUGGCGCAACGGGCGGGAGCCUGAUGCAGCAACGCCGCGUGCGGGAUGACGGCCUUCGGGUUGUAAACCGCUUUCGCCUGUGACGAAGCGUGAGUGACGGUAAUGGGUAAAGAAGCACCGGCUAACUACGUG